RNAcentral lists this ribosomal RNA (607 nucleotides) under Enterococcus faecalis. RNAcentral describes it as "partial 23S ribosomal RNA". It matches the Rfam family "Bacterial large subunit ribosomal RNA", at positions 1 to 564 of the family's 2925-position model. The record is from RNAcentral. Lineage: Bacteria; Bacillati; Bacillota; Bacilli; Lactobacillales; Enterococcaceae.
GUGUUCGUUAUUAAGGGCGCAUGGUGGAUGCCUUGGCAUGCUGAGCCGAUGAAGGACGUGAAAGGCUGCGUUAAGCCUCGGGGAGUUGUCAAUUAAGCGUUGAUCCGAGGAUGUCCGAAUGGGGAAACCUGGCCCUGGUUAUGUGGGGUUACCCUUCAGUGAAUUCAUAGCUGUUGUGGGGGUUUACGCGGGGAAGUGAAACAUCUCAGUACCCGUAGGAGAAGAAAAUAAUAAUGAUUCUGCUAGUAGUGGCGAACGAACGUGGAUGAGGCUAAACCGUGUGCAUGUGAUACCUGGUAGGGGUUGUGUGUGCGGUGUUGUGGGCCCUGAUGUGCGGUGACUACCAUCAUCGUGCUUGCGCAUUGUUGUUAGGUGAAGUGGUUUGGAAUGGCCUGCCGGAGUAGGUGAGAGUCCUGUAGCUGAAGAUGAUGAUGUGUGGGUUGUUGGGUUGCCCGAGUAGCAGCGGGCUCGUGGAAUCUGCUGUGAAUCUGCCGGGACCACCCGGUAAGCCUAAAUACUCAGUGUGACCGAUAGUGUAUGAGUACCGUGAGGGAAUGGUGAAAAGUACCCCGGGAGGGGAGUGAAAUAGUUCCUGAAACCAUGUGCU